GACCAUGCUGCUCUGCUUCCCUUCUCUCUGCCUCUAGGCAGCUUCUUGCUUCAUGGUUAAAUGUCCCUGAGCAAGGAGCCUGGGCCAAUCCUGCUGGGGCUGGACCUGGAGGCCCGCCCCAGGGAGGAGGGACUGAGCCCUGGCCCAGAUGCAAAGGCGGCCUGAAUCGCCGGUCUUGAGACGUGUCUGUGAGUGCAAACCUUCAGAUUUGUCAGCCCAACAUGUGAGCAAAGGCUUUCAAAACCUCCAGGGGUGAUGCGCAUGCUGGUGCACUUGGGAAAUGUUAUUUUGGCACCUGUCAUUCUCACCACGAUAUUUUAAAUACUUUUUGAAACAGAGCUUUAUUUUAUAAAAAAGCUAACCAGCAAGCAAGAAAAAAAAAAAAAGAAACCAAAACAAAAACUCAAAUCAACAUGAAGGAAUGAGGCUUUCUUUUCCAUGGUGUGUUUCUUCCCAAGCUUUCUAAAUCUGCCAGGACAUCUGAAGUACUUACUGGGUCUUGAACACAAGACCUCAGAUGCACUAAGCAAGCCCUGAGCUACACUAGCAACCUUAGUUUUUCCAUACGGUCACCAGCUUCACUGUGAGCUUCUUAUUUUAAAUAGAGAGCUUCUUGGUCCAAGUACCCUGUGGCUCAGUGUAAUAAAUAAACUUACAUCAGCUGAACAUUUGUGUACUGAUUGUCUAUUAAAUGGAACCCUUGUGUACCUUGCAUUACACUGGAUGUCUUUUUAACAUCUGACUUUGCUAUCGCAUCAGAACCGCCCCCUCCAACCCAAUCAGAAGCAAAGAUUAUGGCUUUCAUGUUUGUAUUCCCAACCACCUGGAAUCAUCCCAUUGUUGGUAACUGGAUGAAGAGAUAGAGAAAGGAGAAGAAGGAAAAGAAAGAAUUCUGUAACUCCUCCCAAAACCGAGGAGAUUCUCCCAAAACUAAUCACAUCCCUUAGUGAAAGUACUAAGGACGCAUAAGAAAUAGUUCUGAAGAUGAAGCUUCUUGUGUGAGAGGAAAUGGUUGGGUUAUGAGUCUCCAUCGUGUAGACCAGACAGAAUGUCCAGUCUACUCAGUAAAGUCCUUUGCCAAACACAGUGAAGUUGGCAUCUCAUGAUCAGAGAAGGAACUGUGCAAAAACAGCAUGUGUUGUCACCUGGCCUGCUGCUGUGUGGGCUAGACUUUUGUAGGAAGUGAGCUUACACUAGAAUUUCCUUUGCUAAUCCUAUGAGAUCCAUUGACCUUGCCAGCCAUCCAAAGCAUGUGAUGUCUGAACUCAGGACCGUGUUCUCUGGGCCAAGUCCGAAGUCCGAAUCACCUUCUCGGUGGGACGAGGAUGAGCAGCAUGGGCUUUCCCCUCUCAAGUACAAUUUGACGAAUGCUCGGGAGUACCGCAUCUGUUUGCCAUAAUGAUGAUGACUAUAAUAGCAAUAACAAGAUAUUUAUUAAGCACUCAGAAUGUGCCAACACUGUUAUAAACACUUCACAUGCUUUAGAAAAGUUAAUCUUCACAACAAUCCUAUGAGCUAAGUGGAGGGUUUUAGUAACUUUGCCAAGCGUGUGUAGCUGAGAAGUGGUAGGGCUGGACAGUGACAUAGGCAGCGACAUUUUGUCUCCUCAUGUUCCUUCCAUCUACCACAUACCCCUUGAUAUCGCUUUUGACAAUAUAUCAUGAGAGCCUUCUGACUGCACUGAGCCUAACAACUCCUUUGAAUCCAUCAAGAACCACUUCGGGAAAUCUGCGAGUUCCCCUAAAUUUCUCUUGUGCUUCCUAGGUACUUGGCACAUGCUGCUAUCACACUAAAUUUCAUUGUGUAUUUAUAUAUUUGCCUCUCUCACCAAACUGUGAGCUCCACGAGGGAGAAUACAGAUAAUACCACUCUUCUUUUUCCUCCUCGUCCCCAGGACUUGAUCUGGGUCAAUGUCUAUAGAAAUGUUUUGUGAAUGAAUAAAGAAAGAAUACAUAAGACAACUCAAGUUGUGUGAACAGAGUCAAAGUUCAGUCAGCAGAACAAAACUCUGAGCAGCCCGAGUAGAUGGCAUGGCGUGCGUGCUCUAUGGUGCAGAGAUCCUCAGAGAAGCACAGAUCCAAGGCACUGAGCUGUUCCUCUUCAUCUUUCUCAUGGAACUGCCUCAACCCCUCUCCAAGGAUAUGGUUUCACUGCAGCAACACCAUCCUGGGAUCAACCCCUUUCCUCCACCCUCUCGUGGCUGGUCCACAGUCCAGGAAAGCUCCCAAGCCGCACUGAGCCUAAGAACUUCACUUGGAAGCGGUUACUAUCAGGAAUGGAGGAGAUGUCAGUCCAAGAACCGUUGGAAGUGGUUACUUUCCACCAUAUGGGCCGAAGCCAAAAGAGCCUGUUUGUAGCAAGUGUGAAAAAUGAGAAGAAAACAUAAGUGGAUGGAAAUCACCCUCCAGCUACCCUGCUUUGAGAAAGAACAUCAAACAUAUAAAAGAGUAUUUCCUGGAGGCUAAGGGUGGGUGUGCUACGGCGUCCAGGAAGAAACCUGUGGUGGGAAUCAGGGCUGAAGUUCUGCUGUCGGCUCUGUGUCGCUUGUGUGCUUUGGACAAACCUGUCACCCUCCAGUUUUCAAGGGUUCCUUUCAAUCCAAUGAUGUGAUUGGGGCUCAGAGAUUUUCGGCUUUUCUCAGUGGUGGAGUCUUUGGUUGAAAUAAAUUCUUAGGAGAAGAUCAAGAUAUAAAUCCGAUACAAAGAAAAAUAAAGAGACCCAUGGGUGGGGUGAUGAGCUGGAAUCUUGCUUGGCCAUCCUCCGCAGCUUCCAUUUCCCCUCACUGGGGCUUCCUGAGACAAUGUCAGAAACCCAGCUAAUACUGUGAGAUGCUUUCAGAUAUUACUGUAAGGGCGUAAUAGUUACACUCGAGCCUUCAGACAGAAACUACAUACUGAGUUCCCUCGCACAUCUGUGGACCCAGUUGCUAGAAAUGGAGCGACCAGUGAAGCUGCAUUCCUUACACUGAUUCUUUCAAUGCCUCAGAUAUUUCAAAUUUUUCCAGCUUUGGGCCUAUUCAUCAGGAGUUCACUCUUCCAAAAAUACACUGCCUCCAUAUUUUUGCAUGAAUAACCCCUUUCUCUUCGUUUAAAUUUUAAAUAGAUCCAAUUCCGGAGUCCUUUCCUGAGAAGCAGGCUCUUUGGGAAGAGCCUCACUGGAAUUGAUUUCUUGCAAGGCCUCAGAAGAAGCUCAGCAAUACGCUCACACACUGUACGUUUUUGUGAAAUUUGUGAGAGUCAGAUAUUCCAACAGCAAUCCAUUAUGAUCAUUCUUUUUGUUCUCUCACCUUCCCCUCUGUCACAUUUCCUUCAUGGUGGGUGGCUUUUGAAAUCUUCAUUUCUCAUUUUCUUCAUCUUCAAAAUGAGAAAAAGAAUAGUAUCUACACCCGAGUGGUGUUUCAAGGGUUAAAUAUAUUCAUACAGGAAAAUUGCUUGGAACAGGGCCUGAUGGGCAGGAAAUGCUUACUGUCUUAUUAUUUUCACUUAUUUAGAAAUCAACAAAAUAGUAGAUUACUGAAUUCAAGUCCUAGCUGGACCUUUGAAGACCAUAAGUAAAUUGUGACUAUUAAGAAUAUCAAAGAAGGCAAGGCCUAAACUCCUCCCUCUCGAGUUGAUGCAGUGAAAGCCCAGAGAAUGAAAUUGUUUGUCCAAAUCUUGCAGCUAGGGAGGGUGCAAGGUGAGACUGAUGCCCAGGUCUGCUGAUGGAAAGUCUGUCAUCGGAUGGAAGGAAAGAAGCCUGCUGGGAGAAUUUGCCCAAGCCUCUACUGACCUCUUUCUCACACUCAGUCCUGUGGAUUCCAGCUGCUUAGCAACAGCUAGAGAAGAACUGGGGUGUCCCAAACAGCCUGCUGGGCACUGACAGAAGCUAUGACUAAGGUCCCUCACACCACUGUGUAUCCAGUUGUUAGAAAAUGGAGCGGCCAGUGAAGCUGGCCAGAACUUGUGACUCCUAUUGCCACCAAACUGAUUUUGCAUAAGGCGGACGUGCAUUUUAGAAUUUGGGUAAAUUCGUUUUGAGGCUACUGCUUCUUUCUAAGGUACCAGCAGGAUGCAGAAGCAGAUCGUAGAAGUUAUAACCGGAUCUCAUUAUCACACACAAGGAUCAACUCCAGAGGGUAGGAGAUCUCUCUAUAAAGAAUAAAUUCAUACUCUGGGAGGGGGACUGCAAGAUGGAGCUCGGCCUGGGAAACUGAGUGAGACCCUAUCUCAAAAUAAAAAAUAAUAAAAGAAAAAGGGCUACAUGUAGCUCAGUGCUCAGGCACCAGGUUCAAUCCCCAGUACUGGAAAAAAUAAAAUAAAGAAUAAAACCAAAAUAUUCCUGGAAGAAUGCACGGGUGAAAUGCAGACAGCCUUGUCACUGUGUCACCAACAUCUACAUGCCAUAAAAAGGG
Long non-coding RNA from Heterocephalus glaber (naked mole-rat), 4390 nucleotides. Lineage: Eukaryota; Metazoa; Chordata; Mammalia; Rodentia; Bathyergidae. The record is from Ensembl.